GAUGAAGAACGUAGCGAAAUGCGAUAAGUAAUGUGAAUUGCAGAAUUCAGUGAAUCAUCGAAUCUUUGAACGCACAUUGCGCCCCUUGGUAUUCCGAGGGGCAUGCCUGUUCGAGCGUCAUUAUAACCCCUCAAGCUCAGCUUGGUGUUGGGGCCUGCCGCACGGGCAGCCCUUAAAAUCAGUGGCGGUGCCAUCUGGCUCUAAGCGUAGUAAUUCUUCUCGCUAUAGAGUCCCGGUGGAUGCUUGCCAUUAACCCCCAAUUUUCUAUGGUUGACCUCGGAUCAGGUAGGGAUACCCGCUGAACUUAAGCAUAUCAAUAACGGAGGA
This 327-nucleotide unclassified non-coding RNA is filed under the name soil metagenome. Its description in RNAcentral is "partial contains 5.8S ribosomal RNA, internal transcribed spacer 2, and large subunit ribosomal RNA". The stretch from base 1 to 120 matches the Rfam family "5.8S ribosomal RNA", at positions 35 to 154 of the family's 154-position model. The record is from RNAcentral.